AAGUACUACAGGGUAAAAGUACUCAGAGUACCAGAGUAGAAGUACUCUGCUACAAGUUAAUGUCCUGUAUCUAAAAGCACUGACAUUGAAAUAUACUCUAAAGUAAAACUACUGACUCAGCUGAAGGACCCAUCACAGAGUGAUUUACAUGUUAUUAUAACCAUUACUGAUUUAUUAUUAAUUAGCUUUAGUGACGUUAAUGUGGUAUAAUGAAAUUAUAUCGCCAUCUUAGUUUUUAUUCUGUUUGUAGUUCCUGUCUCUUCAGGAGCGGUGGGAUUCAGAAGCAGAGUCAGAGUGAGACCUCUCUUCUUCCACAGAUGCCCCGCCCCCGCCCCACCAGGCCCCGCCUCUUCCCAGCUGUCAGAGUCCGCUGAGUGGGCGUGGCUGCGUGUUGUCUUCCUGCUCUACCUGCCAGGUGUUCCGCACGCUGCGCGGGUUCAGCUCCUUCUGCCGGUGGAUUUAGUGGAAACAUGGCGGCGCCGCUGACCGAGCAGGAGCAGAGAUCAAGCGCAGUUUUAACCGACACCUUCAUCCUGGUGAAGGACCGGAACGUAGCGACGCCCCGGGACUACUACUUACCCUGGCCCACACCGUCCGGGACCACCUGGUGGAUCCGAACCCAGCUGUACUACUACGAGAAAGACCCGAAGCUGCUGUUUGUCUGUGGAGACAAAACCACACCUGUUACCUGUCCUCUGUUACCUGUUCUUACCUGACGUGGUCUGAGGUGUGACUGCAGUGAACUGACCUCUGACCUGUUUGAGGGUUUAUCAUCUGUCCCUGGAGUUCUACGUGGGCCCUGCAGAACACCAUGAUCAGCCUGCGAUGAAGCCAUCUACCAGGAACCAGGAAGUCGACACAAAACACACUGAUAACACUCACUGUCCUCUGUGUGUGUGUGUGUGUGUGUGUAGCUGAGUUUGGACGUGGAGGAGCUGGAGGAGAUCGAGGAGGACGCUGGUCUCUGACUCACAUGCAGCUGAGUGAACAGAGCAGUUCACCUGCUGUGGUUCACACCUGUCCUGAUCAAACAUCUGUGUGGAGUCUGUGAGACGUUCAGAGUUCCUGUUGAUUUAAAAACUGUAAAUUAAAGCUGUGAGUUUGUGUGAGGUUCAGUUCAGGUGUUUCAGCCUGAAACUGCAGCUGCUUCAGUCUCACACAGAAACACAGACAUGAAACUGGGCGUCUGCUGCUUCAGUUUCAGGACUCUCUGACCUCUGACCUCUGGAUUCAGACUCAUCUAAGACUUGUUAGAAUAAAGGCGUGUGUUUAAAGACUCUUUAAAAUGAGUUGUUUCAGCUUCUUUUUCUAAUGAAAAGGAUUUUGAACUGUUCUGUGCUCAGUUUUAAUAAUUAUAUAAUAAUAAAAAAGAUGAAGCUGAACCAGUUUUUUAAAGUUAGAAAUUAAUGAAUUAAUAAAUGACAGCACAUCAAAGUGAAGUCGGCAGCUCAGGAGAUUGAUCUGAAUUCAUUCAUUAAACUUAUAUUGAAUUCAGUGGUUGUAAAAUAAUUAUUUUUUACAGUGUAAUGUUUUCACCUGGAUGACGCAGCUCAGGUGUCCAGCUGAUCUGAAGCUCUCACAGUUUCAGGAGGUGUUUCUGAAUGAACAGGAAGCUCCUCCCACAGCAGCGGCCGACAGGUGAGUCUCUGAGGCUCCGCCCCCUCACCCCAAGCUUUAUUUGGCACGGGAACAGGUGAGAGCUCAGACCGCAGGA
Molecule: long non-coding RNA, 1714 nt
Organism: Lates calcarifer (barramundi perch)
Lineage: Eukaryota; Metazoa; Chordata; Actinopteri; Centropomidae
Exons: 3
Source: RefSeq, a predicted model, not a curated record